Kangiella koreensis DSM 16069 is the source of this 131-nucleotide regulatory RNA element. It matches the Rfam family "Ribosomal S15 leader". Rfam says of the family: The E. coli Ribosomal S15 gene 5' UTR can form two alternative structures. One that is a series of three hairpins, The other includes a pseudoknot. Lineage: Bacteria; Pseudomonadati; Pseudomonadota; Gammaproteobacteria; Kangiellales; Kangiellaceae. The record is from Rfam.
UUGACUGGCUGAAUUAGUGAUUGGCCGGUCUUGUUUAAAAUCUUGGGCAAGUCCCUGAAAUUUGGAGUAAAAAUAUGUCACUAAGUCCAGAAGCGAAAGCUGAUAUUGUAAAAGAACACGCGCGCGGUGAA